GACGAACGCUGGCGGCGUGCCUAAUACAUGCAAGUCGAGCGAAGUUUUUCUGGUGCUUGCACUAGAAAAACUUAGCGGCGAACGGGUGAGUAACACGUAAAGAACCUGCCUCAUAGACUGGGACAACUAUUGGAAACGAUAGCUAAUACCGGAUAACAGUAUUUCUCGCAUGGGAGAUAUUUAAAAGUUGGUUAUGCUAACACUAUGAGAUGGCUUUGCGGUGCAUUAGCUAGUUGGUGGGGUAAAGGCCCACCAAGGCGACGAUGCAUAGCCGACCUGAGAGGGUGAUCGGCCACACUGGGACUGAGACACGGCCCAGACUCCUACGGGAGGCAGCAGUGGGGAAUCUUCCGCAAUGGGCGAAAGCCUGACGGAGCAACGCCGCGUGAGUGAAGAAGGAUUUCGGUUCGUAAAGCUCUGUUGUUAGGGAAGAAUGGAUAUGUAGUAACUAUACAUGUAAGAGACGGUACCUAACCAGAAAGCCACGGCUAACUACGUG
This 499-nucleotide ribosomal RNA is filed under the name uncultured bacterium. RNAcentral's name for it is "partial 16S ribosomal RNA". It matches the Rfam family "Bacterial small subunit ribosomal RNA", at positions 28 to 507 of the family's 1533-position model. The record is from RNAcentral.